UACACUCCUGCGGGAGGCAGCAGUGGGGAAUAUUGCACAAUGGGCGCAAGCCUGAUGCAGCCAUGCCGCGUGUAUGAAGAAGGCCUUCGGGUUGUAAAGUACUUUCAGCGGGGAGGAAGGCGAUAAGGUUAAUAACCUUGUCGAUUGACGUUACCCGCAGAAGAAGCACCGGCUAACUCCGUGCCAGCAGCCGCGGUAAUACGGAGGGUGCAAGCGUUAAUCGGAAUUACUGGGCGUAAAGCGCACGCAGGCGGUCUGUCAAGUCGGAUGUGAAAUCCCCGGGCUCAACCUGGGAACUGCAUUCGAAACUGGCAGGCUAGAGUCUUGUAGAGGGGGGUAGAAUUCCAGGUGUAGCGGUGAAAUGCGUAGAGAUCUGGAGGAAUACCGGUGGCGAAGGCGGCCCCCUGGACAAAGACUGACGCUCAGGUGCGAAAGCGUGGGGAGCAAACAGGAUUAGAAACCCGGGUAGUCCC
This 473-nucleotide ribosomal RNA is filed under the name uncultured organism. RNAcentral describes it as "partial 16S ribosomal RNA". It matches the Rfam family "Bacterial small subunit ribosomal RNA", at positions 332 to 797 of the family's 1533-position model. The record is from RNAcentral.